AAAAUGUGAGACGCAAAUACAAAUUGGAUCAAAUAUUGGACAAGUGAAGUACCAACCUAAGCCACCAAUCGCUUAAGUGUGCUGUUUGUCUAUUGUCAAAAUUACAUACGUGCUUUCUGAUAACAAUAAUAAUGACUCUUACGAGUAUCAAAGUGACAGCUAAUUUAAUUAAAUGCUUAUGACAUAAAUUUGGCCACAUUGAUAUAUAAAAGUGGUUUAGUGAAUUUUAGUAAUAUUUGGAAGUAACAUUGAUACCAAAUUAUUUAUCAUUUAUCAUUAUGUUAUUAUUUAACCAGUUAUGUCAGAGCCGGAAGUCAACCAUGCCUAAAGUAAAAUUACGCGUGUGCGUAGACAUGCACGUGCGCGGGCGCUGAUUUAUUAGAGCUGUGAACGCAUACGUCACGCAAGCGGUGUGACGUCUCUCACAAGAAUCUGUAUUUCACAACGCACACGUAUCCGGUGUGCCUUAACCUUCUGAACGCCAGACGGCGAAGGAGUAAUCCGUGCCCCGGACGCCAGGAAAUCACGAUUAUUCAAGCGAAAUUGAACUUUACGGUGUCUCGAGUAAUUAAAGUUCCUAUUGCAUUGGCGAAGCUGUCGUUGGCGUCCUUGGCAAGAAUUUCCGAUGACGGCCAUAGCCGACUGUACGGGUCAAAAGGUUAAGACUUGAUACCAUGUCUUCGAUAUUGCGUACCACAAUUACCAUAUUGUGCACCUAUAUUUCUAUUAUGGAUAUGGGACUAUUUACCCACUCUCACAAGUUCGCAACUCGUAACAUGAAAAUUACUUAGACCAAUAAUGAGAAUUUAUUAUUUAAUAAUCGCGAGUUGCUACUGUAGAAUAUUGUUGUCAGAUGGUCUGCCGGCCUAGCCAAGGUUACAAUCGCUAUCGCUUCGACAACGAAAAGCAUUAUGUCUCUCUAUCACUCUUCCGUAUUAGUGACAGUGACAGCUGCGUUUCGAUCGCUACGGAGCGUAAGCGAUUGACAUCUUGGCUACGCGGCCUGUUCAACGUUAACUUAUAAGGUAAACUACCCUAUCGUCGGCACCCCUCCAAUGGCUGGCACCUUCAACCUGCCUUAAAAGCAGAAAUUGCGACCUUCCCAUUAAACUAAGUGUACUUUUAAAUGCUAAUCAUUGGAUGGUUUACUCUACUGUUUAAAUGGAAUGGCAAUCAUGUGUUGGAUGUAUAAAUCUAGCGGACUGUGAUUUUAAUGAGACUAAGUAACGGAAUUGUAUAUAAAUAGGUAUUGUGAAUUGCUAUUGAGCGUGUUGCUAUUAUAUUAAAAAUACAAUUUAAAAAUUGUCAAUGACAAUACCAGUUUUAAACAUUGUAUAUUCAACAACCAAAAUGCCAAACCAAAUGUUUUAAUUUUUCAUUUUUUGGCUUGUACGUAUUUGUUAGUAUGAUAUUAUAAAGAGCUAAGAGGGUCAAGGGUCAUUUAACUUUUCUUAGCGUUACCCUGCCCGAAAGCAAUCCGAAUUCAGCUAUUAUACAUACGCUUCUAAUUGCUGCAAAAUAGUAUUUUACAAAUCGUAGAGAAUCGUAAAAAUAAAUGAAUCGGAAAUCAUCAUCAAUCAUCAUGUAAUCAAGUUACAAGUUAAUGCAGCCAUUCUCUAAGUGUGUUCCGCGCAACCCUAGGGUUCCGCGACACCCCUGCAGGGGUUCUCAAGAAUUUAGAACACUAUGCUUUAGUCGCCUCGAAAAAUUUUACUAUGCAAAAAACGCACUUCUAAAAACUAUUGUUUUAUUGUAGGGUUCCAUCAAGUAUUUUCGCUUUCCAAAAGGGCCCCGUCAAAAAAAAAGAUUGUGAACCGCUGAGUUAAUGUAAUUUGACCCAUACAUGAACCGUGUAUGAAAUAUCAUUUGAUAUUUACCAGUUGCUUUUCGGUGAAGGAAAACAUCGUGAGGAAACCGGACUAAUCCAAGGCCUACAGGCCUAUUCGGAUUUCGAGAUAAUCACAAGAUCUUGAGACGAUUUAGAGAUCAACUAGAUCUACAUUAGAUAUCGACUAGAUGUGACUUGGAUAUCUAAGUCAUAACUUGUCGAAAUCGUUCAAGAGGACCUCCAGAAUCGCGGAAACGUCAAAUUUGACAUAUCUAUCUUACAAAUAUCUUUAAAUUAUCCGUAUCGUAACUUGUUGAAGUCUAGUAGAAAUCUAAUUCAUUUUCCGAAUCGAGCCGCUAGUUUCUUCUUCGGGUUGGAAGGUCAGAUGGCAGUCCACGCUUUCGUAAAAACUAGGGCCUAUGUCAAUUUUUGGGAUUACUUCUCAAGCGGACCCCAGACUCCCAUGAGUCGUAGCAAAAUGCCAGGAUAACACGAGGAAGAAGAAGAAGACAUGAAUCGUAAACAUUGUAAAAUUAAUGUUGUAAUGAAAUGCAGAAUUAUUGAUUGUUUAACAAAGAAAAUCGGAACCUAAGAAGAUUAUUUCUUUAUUAAUUAAGGUGCAUGCGUAAUCCUUAGUUUAAAACAUAAUGUAUUUAUGUAACUAUAGUAGUCAAUUGUUCCUAGAAUUAUUAGCAUCAUUCCUUAGCGCCAAUUUUGCACCAAGUGCAUGAAUAAUGUUAUUGUAUCUGUUCUGUCGAAUUUUAAAAUGAUUUGGAGCUAUGACACGUAACGUAACUUUAUUUACUUUAAAAUUGUAACUAUACCAAGUACCCGAGAGAUUUUAACCACGCAUUUCUGAGGCCAAUUGAAGGAAAAAAUGUUAUACAUAUAUAAGUUUAGGUCAAUUUCACCAAAAAUUAAAUUGCUUUUAACUCUGAAACUAGGCAAAUUACAAAAAAGUUUAUAGGAUAUUUUAGUCUUUAAAUAUUAUCAGUAAAAUAGUGUUAAAAUCUCUAAGGUUCCUCGUGUGGACGUUGUAUGUACCCAGAACAGGUGGUUAAAAGCAUCUUCAUACAAAAAAAAACCUAGUUCCUGUUCUUAACAUGACAUCUACCUAACCCUUUGAACGCCACGCCUAUCGUAUGCGGCGUGUCAUUGUGUACCUUGUCGGAAUACACAAAGGUUGAUAUUUGGCUGUAGCUGGUCAUUUAACAUAUUUGGCGGUCAAACGGUUAAGGACCCAGUGGUUGUCACCAAAUUAAACGAAUUUAUACAACUUACAAAUGUUUAAACAAAUCAAAUAAUUAAAUGUUAUUGUUUUAAUAAACAAGAAAAGAGGAUCAAGAGACAAGAUUAUAACAUUUAUAACUUUACUAUUCUUCAAAUAUGUAUAUCGUCAUAUUUUUUAAGGGAAAAUGCUCUCAGUUAAGUGUAUCAUUCCAAUUAUAAAUGUAAUAAACUAGAUAUGAAUGCAUUAAGAUUGUAUGUACAAUUUGCGGUAUGUUUUUAGUGAGAUGCUACGUAGAUCAGUAUUCAUAUGUGAUUUUGUUACAGGCAUGUAUGAAAUAUAUUUUAUUAAAGAUGUUAAUACUGUUUUUUUUUGCGCUCAAGUUAUGAAAUGAAUAUACUUAACUUACUUAAGUCAUAUUUUUAAUAAGCUAGAGUAAAUUGACGAGGUCGUCUUAAAAUAUAGACAAAAAUGAAAUAACAGUGUAGAUAAUUUAGAAUACCUAACUUUCAUUCAUAAAAGUGUUCUGCUUAUUAUGACGAUACAGUAAGUUAUUCUUCAACUUUGCUUGAUAACGCUUG
This is a long non-coding RNA of Cydia splendana, 3637 nucleotides long. RefSeq lists it as uncharacterized. The transcript has 2 exons. The record is from RefSeq and is a predicted model, not a curated record. NCBI's taxonomy places the organism in Eukaryota, Metazoa, Arthropoda, Insecta, Lepidoptera, Tortricidae.